GCCUGUAGCAAAAGUCCACCCACAGGCCACCCACAAACUAUGUAGAGCUGGACUGUUGCAAAAAGAAAUACUACUUUGGUAUGAUUUGGGUUAUACCUCGGCAAGAAAUAAAUCAGCUCAGCUGCCAAGAUUAGCCAACAUCAUGGGAACAUAGAACUGUGGACCUGUUUUUAAACUGUCCUGAAGUCAUCUUGUGAAAGUACCUGGAGAUUAGGAAGAGUAGACUUUCUUGCUGAUAUGUACGGCCUUCUGCUUAUGGAUGUUUGCUCCAACUUUCAGAGGCAAGAGUAUGAAACUGCUCAAGCAUUUCUAUUUUCAUCCUAAGCAGAAGUAACUUUUUCUGUGGUUUCAAGGAGAAACAUUUGAACAUCAGAGAGACAAGACUGAGCAGGUGGAAAAGCUGAAUGAAAAUCUGGAAGAAUUCUCUAUAUGAUUUUUUUUUUGGUGCCAGAUGUUUUGCCAUUAAAAAAAAGAACAAGACAAGAUUGCUUCAAUUAUGGCUUGAUGAAUUGAUUAAUGGUGCUCCAACAUCAUGGAAAUAGGAAUUAAAACUGGAGGUGCCGAGCCAUUCCAAGGAUUUUGAAAAUAAAUAAAAUUUUACUUUCAAGCUGGU
This is a long non-coding RNA of Crotalus tigris (Tiger rattlesnake), 613 nucleotides long. RefSeq lists it as uncharacterized. The record is from RefSeq and is a predicted model, not a curated record. Lineage: Eukaryota; Metazoa; Chordata; Lepidosauria; Squamata; Viperidae. The transcript has 3 exons.